UACAGAGGUCUCAAGCGUUGUUCGGAUUCAUUGGGCGUAAAGGGUGCGUAGGUGGCGUCGUAAGUCGGGUGUGAAAUCUCGGGGCUUAACUCCGAAACUGCAUUCGAUACUGCGGUGCUUGAGGACUGGAGAGGAGACUGGAAUUUACGGUGUAGCAGUGAAAUGCGUAGAUAUCGUAAGGAAGACCAGUGGCGAAGGCGGGUCUCUGGACAGUUCCUGACGCUGAGGCACGAAGGCCAGGGGAGCAAACGGG
Molecule: ribosomal RNA, 253 nt
Filed under: uncultured bacterium
Lineage: Bacteria
Description: partial 16S ribosomal RNA
Rfam family: Bacterial small subunit ribosomal RNA
Source: RNAcentral